UCAGUGAUUAGCAUUAGCAACUGUUGAAUGCCUUCUUUUUUAUUUUCAUUUAUUCUUAAAAGUUUAAUAAUAAUAUUCAAGUAUUAUUAACAAUAUUUUAUUUUUUACAUCUAUUAACUGAUGUAUGUUAAAAUGAAGUUUGUAUAGCGGCUGUGCAGCGAAAUUAGACAAAGAUGCAGACUCUGGAUUUCACCGACUCUAAAUAAGAAAUAAGCUGAUUAAAUUUUUUUUUAAUAAAUUUUUUCGAACGGUAAAAGUUGACAGAAAUGAAUGAAAACAAUAAAUAGUGAACUAUUAAAUAAUUGUCUAUCAGCUUGACAGUAAUGUAUAAUUGAUUUAAUAUUAAUACGAAUCGUCGUUAUUUUUACUGUAAAAAAAAAUUCUAUCAAUUCAUUUCUAAUUUAUAGUUCAAAGAAACGGAAAAAAAAGUGAUAUAUAAAAAUUUCUUUUACAAACAAAAAACUGAAAAAAUAAGUAAGAGUAUUUAUGUUUAAUUAAUAUCACCUCAAUAUAAAGAGGCGUGGACUUUAAAAAAAUUCAAGCACACUAUGGCUCUCGUGUCGUUGGAAAUAUUUUGGUGACUUGUUAACUAUUAAAUAAUUUAUCAAAGAGUAACACUAAUAUAUAAUUAAUUCUUUAUUAUUAUCAAUCGUUGUUGUUUAAACUUUAAAAAUUUUUAGUGACUAAAAAAAAGAAAUAUGUAUUUAUUUUGCGUCCGCAAACGUUGUUAACGUUCGAAGCAACUAGAACCUAUCUAUGCCAGCUCCAUCUGUCGGCUUAGUUUCCGAGUGAGUAAAACUCUGGCCAUUCGCUUCGCUUCCAUAUACACGACCCGUCAGGUAGACCCGGUUUAAGUUUAUCAUCAUAAACUAUUAGUGUCUUAACAUUUUUAUUUUAAUCUUUUUUCGAGGCUACUACGAUUUGCAUUUAGGAUAUCAAUUCUGAACGUAUUUUUAUGCUUACGGCUUUUUUUCCUCAAUCUCUAAUCUUAUAUUCAAAGAGCUCGAAAGUAAAUACUCUAAACUUGAGGUACACAAUAUUAGUACUGGAAAAUUUUUUUCCUAUCAAAUUCUUUUAUUUUCGCUAAAUGUUUUACUCAUGUUUCAACCUGAAUAUUUUCUUUAUGGAUUCGAUCGCUCAGUGAGCAAAACAUCCAAAGGAUCUAAAGUUUUGCUCCUAACCCCUGUUUUUAACUGAUGAAACGUUACUACUCAUGUGAAUAAAUGUAAUCGAACAUGUUAUUGAUUACGAUUGUAAUCGCUCUAAAUGAUCAUAUAUCAAAUCUUAUAUUAAAAUUCGAAUUUUUACUGUUUCCUUUCAUACACACAAAUUUAUUACUUUUUUCUUGCAAUCAUGCCACAUCGAUUAUUGACGAUGAAUAAGAGAUUCUAUUAAAGAUUGGUAUCACUUCGACUUCGUUCAACUUAUCUUAAAUCAACUUGCCUUGCUGCAAUCAUUGCUAAAAAUGAAAAAUAAAUUUAAACAAUCGUCUAUAUUUAAUACUAAUAGAAUUUAUAAUAAAUAAUCGAAUUCAAGAUUAUCACGAAAAAUUUGAAUUGUUUUACCGCAAAUACGAGCUUUAAUUAAACUAAAGUUACCCACGAAAGAGAAUAAAUUUCAAAAAAACAUUUAUUGUUAUCUAUUCAUCUUUCGUGUAAAGUUAAGUUACUACGGCGAUUCCGCAAUAUCGUAGGUUUUCAAUUUUUUAAUGAUAUCAACAUAUUUUCAAAUUGUUCUACAUGCAAAAAAUGUUUAAAAUCAUGAAAUUCCGCCAAGUUUGACUUGCCAUAAUCGCAAAACCAUAAAACUGUUUUUAUCAAUCGUUUAAUCAAAAAAUCACAUAAAUGUGCGUAAGAAAUUGUAGAUCGAAUGUUUGAUCAAAGUAUUAAAAAACAUUUGAUAGCAUAAAUCUUAUUCAGAAUUUUUCUUCAAGUGUUUGAAGUAUCCUACUAAAACUGCCAUUAUUGGAUAGAAGUAAAACUUCGCGCCAUGUCCACGUCGCAAAUGACUUUGCAAAUAACCAAAUUCUCAUUUUUGAAUAAUGAUUUUAAAAAAAUUUUGAAACACCAAAAAAGUUUGAAAUCAAUAGGAGUGCUAUGUCAUCUAUAAAAUUGAGUCUUUCUUUCGUCUCUUUCGAUGAAUUGUGUAAAAAAAUACUUUUUCGAAUUUUCCCAAAAAGAGAAAAAGGAAGCAUGAACUACAGUUUUUAAUGAAUAUAACUCUGGUCGUGAAAGACAAAGGUGUUCAAAUUCUAUCAAAAAUUUCUGGGCACAUCAAAAGUGUAAAACACAGAAGAAUUACGCUACAUUAAAACGAGAGACUUACCGUACAGGAGGAGGUGUCAAUGGAGCUUCGUUAGAAUUGUUAGAUUUGAAAACGAAUGUAAUCAAAUCGGCAUCAAUUAAAGGACUGGGAAAAAUUUACGAUUCUGAUGCUAUGGAAAAUGAGAGUCCAAACAAGCCAAUAUUUGAGUUUCUUAUAAAAAAAAAAGAAACUAAGUCAUGGGCAAGAUGUGCAACAACAAAUCUAAAAACUGCAUUAAGCCCUCCGCUCACACAAGUCAUCACAGACACCCCUAACAUACACCACCGAGAACCAGGUCCAUCGCAUGGCCACCCCGGAUUCACUUUUAAAAAACCAAAAAUGGAUAAUAAUACAAAGAAACCACCGGAAGAUAGCUUGAAAUCUACUAAAGCUGAAGUCUUCGAUCUCGUAAGAGACGCUUUAAUAGAUAAAAAAAGUUUAGAAAAAAAAUUAUUUGAAAAACAAAUUAAACGCGAAGAUUUACAAUUAAAGUUUCUCAAACGAAAGCUUCAAGAUUGUGGGGGAACGAUACUUAUGAUAUUUCAAAUUAGAAUAAUUUGUUUGUGUUAUUAUCAAUUAAAUCUUAUUUUAUAUAACUUUGAUCUCAAAAAUACAUAAAAAUGUAUUUUAAAAGUUGAUAAUGAGAUGAGUUAAAAAAAGUAUCGUAUUAUUCUUAUUUUCAUUCUUAUAUGUUCUUUAUACGUUAUUUUUAGUUCAUUUAUUAUUGUGUGUAACUCUUACGAAAUCUAAUGUUAUUUUUUAUAUUCCAAGAAAAAUAUUCAAUUACAUUACAUUCUACAAGUGAUCC
Molecule: long non-coding RNA, 3112 nt
Filed under: Chelonus insularis
Lineage: Eukaryota; Metazoa; Arthropoda; Insecta; Hymenoptera; Braconidae
Description: uncharacterized LOC118064848
Source: RNAcentral